This 348-nucleotide ribosomal RNA is filed under the name uncultured bacterium. RNAcentral describes it as "bacterial SSU rRNA". It matches the Rfam family "Bacterial small subunit ribosomal RNA", at positions 173 to 509 of the family's 1533-position model. The record is from RNAcentral.
AUCUCUGAGGAUCGCAUGAUCCUUAGAUGAAAGAUGGUUCUGCUAUCGCUUUUAGAUGGACCCGCGGCGUAUUAACUAGUUGGUGGGGUAACGGCCUACCAAGGUGAUGAUACGUAGCCGAACUGAGAGGUUGAUCGGCCACAUUGGGACUGAGACACGGCCCAAACUCCUACGGGAGGCAGCAGUAGGGAAUCUUCCACAAUGGACGCAAGUCUGAUGGAGCAACGCCGCGUGAGUGAAGAAGGUCUUCGGAUACGUAAAACUCUGUUGUUAGAGAAGAACACGAGUGAGAGUAACUGUUCAUUCGAUGACGGUAUCUAACCAGCAAGUCACGGCUAACUACGUGCC